GAUGAAGAACGUAGCGAAAUGCGAUAAGUAAUGCGAAUUGCAGAAUUUCCGUGAAUCAUCGAAUCUUUGAACGCACAUUGCGCCCGCCAGUAUUCUGGCGGGCAUGCCUGUUCGAGCGUCAUUUCAACCCUCAAGCACAGCUUGGUGUUGGGACUCGCGUUAAUUCGCGUUCCUCAAAUUGAUUGGCGGUCACGUCGAGCUUCCAUAGCGUAGUAGUAAAACCCUCGUUACUGGUAAUCGUCGCGGCCACGCCGUUAAACCCCAACUUCUGAAUGUUGACCUCGGAUCAGGUAGGAAUACCCGCUGAACUUAAGCAUAUCAAUAAGCGGAGGA
This 333-nucleotide unclassified non-coding RNA is filed under the name soil metagenome. RNAcentral describes it as "partial contains 5.8S ribosomal RNA, internal transcribed spacer 2, and large subunit ribosomal RNA". The stretch from base 1 to 121 matches the Rfam family "5.8S ribosomal RNA", at positions 35 to 154 of the family's 154-position model. The record is from RNAcentral.